UGGGGAAUAUUGCACAAUGGGCGCAAGCCUGAUGCAGCAAUGCCGCGUGAGUGAAGACGGCCUUAGGGUUGUAAAACUCUUUCGCUAGGGAAGAUAAUGACGGUACCUAGUAAAGAAGUCCCGGCUAACUCCGUGCCAGCAGCCGCGGUAAUACGGAGGGGACUAGCGUUGUUCGGAAUUACUGGGCGUAAAGCGCGCGUAGGCGGACUGAUCAGUCAGGGGUGAAAUCCCGGGGCUCAACCCCGGAACUGCCUUUGAUACUGUCAGUCUUGAGUCCGGAAGAGGCGAGUGGAAUACCGAGUGUAGAGGUGAAAUUCGUAGAUAUUCGGUGGAACACCAGUGGCGAAGGCGACUCGCUGGUCCGGUACUGACGCUGAGGUGCGAAAGUGUGGGGAGCAAACAGGAUUAGAUACCCUGGUAGUCCACGCCGUAAACGAUGUCUGCUAGUCGUUGGGGGGCGUAGCCCUUCAGUGACGCCGCUAACGCAUUAAGCAGACCGCCUGGGA
RNAcentral lists this ribosomal RNA (506 nucleotides) under uncultured bacterium. Its description in RNAcentral is "bacterial SSU rRNA". It matches the Rfam family "Bacterial small subunit ribosomal RNA", at positions 355 to 878 of the family's 1533-position model. The record is from RNAcentral.